GCACGUGAGGGUGAUCUGAUGUGACAUCUGUCACCCCGUGCAUCGCCAGGGUUGACUCAGCUGAUCUGGCUGGCUAGGCUGGUGUCCCAGUCCUCCCUCACUGCUCCGUGUGCAUCACCCCCAAGAGUUGUACUUCCCCAAAUAGAGGAGGACCAGUCUUUAAGGGCACACAAGCAGCUGUACUCUCAUGCUGGAACCACCGAAGAAGCUCUCAAAUAAAGAAGAGCAAAUGAUCAGUAUGUGGACAGACACUCACUACCUUGAGCCAUCAGGGAAACGCAAGGGAAAACUACAUGAAGACCCCAUCU
This is a non-coding RNA of Mesocricetus auratus (golden hamster), 308 nucleotides long. Lineage: Eukaryota; Metazoa; Chordata; Mammalia; Rodentia; Cricetidae. The record is from Rfam.